RNAcentral lists this ribosomal RNA (468 nucleotides) under uncultured bacterium. RNAcentral's name for it is "partial 16S ribosomal RNA". It matches the Rfam family "Bacterial small subunit ribosomal RNA", at positions 28 to 507 of the family's 1533-position model. The record is from RNAcentral.
GACGAACGCUGGCGGCGUGCUUAACACAUGCAAGUCGAACGGAAAGGCCCUGCUUUCGUGGGGUGCUCGAGUGGCGAACGGGUGAGUAACACGUGAGUAACCUGCCCUUGACUUUGGGAUAACUUCAGGAAACUGGGGCUGAUACCGGAUAGGAGCUCCUGCUGCAUGGUGGGGGUUGGAAAGUUUCGGCGGUUGGGGAUGGACUCGCGGCUUAUCAGCUUGUUGGUGGGGUAGUGGCUUACCAAGGCUUUGACGGGUAGCCGGCCUGAGAGGGUGACCGGCCACAUUGGGACUGAGAUACGGCCCAGACUCCUACGGGAGGCAGCAGUGGGGAAUAUUGCACAAUGGGCGGAAGCCUGAUGCAGCAACGCCGCGUGCGGGAUGACGGCCUUCGGGUUGUAAACCGCUUUCGCCUGUGACGAAGCGUGAGUGACGGUAAUGGGUAAAGAAGCACCGGCUAACUACGUG